Molecule: ribosomal RNA, 463 nt
Filed under: uncultured bacterium
Lineage: Bacteria
Description: partial 16S ribosomal RNA
Rfam family: Bacterial small subunit ribosomal RNA
Source: RNAcentral
GAUGAACGCUGACAGAAUGCUUAACACAUGCAAGUCUUUGGCGAAGCUGUGCUUGCACCGCCUAGCCAAGUCGGACGGGUGAGUAACGCGUAAGGAACUUGCCCUGCAGUCAGGGAUAACAGACGGAAACGACUGAUAAGACCUGGUAAAGUCAGGCGGUCUCAUGUCCAGCCUGAUGAUAAGAGAUGCUGCAGGAGAGCCUUGCGUCCUAUUAGCUUGUUGGUGGGGUAACGGCCCACCAAGGCGAUGAGAGGUAGCAGGCAUGAGAGGGUGGACGGCCACGAGGGGAAGGGGAGACGGCACUUACUCCUACGGGAGGCAGCAGGGAUGAAUAUUGGACAAUGGGGGCAACCCUGAUCCAGCAAUUCUGUGUGCACGAUGAAGGUUUUCGGAUAGUAAAGUGCUUUCAGCAGGGAAGAACAAAAUGACGGUACCUACAGAAGAAGCGACGGCUAAAUACGUG